GUAGGUGGCGAGCGUUGUCCGGAAUUAUUGGGCGUAAAGCGCGCGCAGGCGGUUCUUUAAGUCUGAUGUGAAAGCCCACGGCUCAACCGUGGAGGGUCAUUGGAAACUGGAGAACUUGAGUACAGAAGAGGAAAGCGGAAUUCCACGUGUAGCGGUGAAAUGCGUAGAGAUGUGGAGGAACACCAGUGGCGAAGGCGGCUUUCUGGUCUGUAACUGACGCUGAGGCGCGAAAGCGUGGGGAGCAAACAGGAUUAGAUACCCUGGUAGUCCACGCCGUAAACGAUGAGUGCUAAGUGUUAGGGGGUUUUCCGCCCCCCUUAGUGCUGCAGCUAACGCAUUAAGCACUCCGCCUGGGAGUACGGCCGCAAGGCUG
RNAcentral lists this ribosomal RNA (373 nucleotides) under uncultured organism. RNAcentral describes it as "partial 16S ribosomal RNA". It matches the Rfam family "Bacterial small subunit ribosomal RNA", at positions 527 to 896 of the family's 1533-position model. The record is from RNAcentral.